UCCGAUAUGGUCUAGUGGCUAGGAUUUGCCGCUCUCAUCUUCAGAGUUCAAAACACUUUACAGUGCCGGCAAGGCCCGGGUUCGAUUCCCGGUGUCGGAA
Molecule: non-coding RNA, 100 nt
Organism: Pleomassaria siparia CBS 279.74
Lineage: Eukaryota; Fungi; Ascomycota; Dothideomycetes; Pleosporales; Pleomassariaceae
Source: the annotation of a GenBank genome assembly